This 2899-nucleotide ribosomal RNA is filed under the name Streptococcus vestibularis F0396. RNAcentral's name for it is "bacterial LSU rRNA". It matches the Rfam family "Bacterial large subunit ribosomal RNA". Lineage: Bacteria; Bacillati; Bacillota; Bacilli; Lactobacillales; Streptococcaceae. The record is from RNAcentral.
GGUUAAGUUAAUAAGGGCGCACGGUGGAUGCCUUGGCACUAGAAGCCGAUGAAGGACGUGACUAACAACGAAAUGCUUUGGGGAGCUGUAAGUGAGCAAUGAUCCAGAGAUGUCCGAAUGGGGGAACCCGGCAGGUAAUGCCUGUCACUCAUUACUGUUAAGGUAAUGUAGAGGAAGACGCAGUGAACUGAAACAUCUAAGUAGCUGCAGGAAGAGAAAGCAAAAGCGAUUGCCUUAGUAGCGGCGAGCGAAACGGCAAGAGGGCAAACCGAAGAGUUUACUCUUCGGGGUUGUAGGACUGCAACGUGGACUUAAAGAUUAUAGAAGAACUACCUGGGAAGGUAGGCCAAAGGGAGUAAUAGCCUCGUAUUCGAAAUAGUCUUUAUACCUAGCAGUAUCCUGAGUACGGCGAGACACGAGAAAUCUCGUCGGAAUCUGGGAGGACCAUCUCCCAACCCUAAAUACUCUCUAGUGACCGAUAGUGAACCAGUACCGUGAGGGAAAGGUGAAAAGCACCCCGGGAGGGGAGUGAAAUAGAACCUGAAACCGUGUGCCUACAACAAGUUCAAGCCCGUUAAUGGGUGAGAGCGUGCCUUUUGUAGAAUGAACCGGCGAGUUACGAUAUGAUGCGAGGUUAAGUUGAAGAAACGGAGCCGUAGGGAAACCGAGUCUUAAUAGGGCGCAUUAGUAUCAUGUCGUAGACCCGAAACCAUGUGACCUACCCAUGAGCAGGUUGAAGGUGAGGUAAAACUCACUGGAGGACCGAACCAGGGCACGUUGAAAAGUGCUUGGAUGACUUGUGGUAGCGGAGAAAUUCCAAACGAACUUGGAGAUAGCUGGUUCUCUCCGAAAUAGCUUUAGGGCUAGCGUCGAUGUUAAGUCUCUUGGAGGUAGAGCACUGUUUGGGUGAGGGGUCCAUCCCGGAUUACCAAUCUCAGAUAAACUCCGAAUGCCAAUGAGAUAUAAUCGGCAGUCAGACUGCGAGUGCUAAGAUCCGUAGUCGAAAGGGAAACAGCCCAGACCACCAGCUAAGGUCCCAAAAUAUAUGUUAAGUGGAAAAGGAUGUGGGGUUGCACAGACAACUAGGAUGUUAGCUUAGAAGCAGCUAUUCAUUCAAAGAGUGCGUAAUAGCUCACUAGUCGAGUGACCCUGCGCCGAAAAUGUACCGGGGCUAAAACAUAUUACCGAAGCUGUGGAUACCUUUAUAGGUAUGGUAGGAGAGCGUUCUAUGUGCGAAGAAGGUGUACCGUGAGGAGUGCUGGAGCGCAUAGAAGUGAGAAUGCCGGUAUGAGUAGCGAAAGACAGGUGAGAAUCCUGUCCACCGUAAGACUAAGGUUUCCAGGGGAAGGCUCGUCCGCCCUGGGUUAGUCGGGACCUAAGGAGAGACCGAAAGGUGUAUCCGAUGGACAACAGGUUGAUAUUCCUGUACUAGAGUAUAUAGUGAUGGAGGGACGCAGUAGGCUAACUAAACCAGACGAUUGGAAGUGUCUGGCCAAGCAGUGAGGUGUGAUAUGAGUCAAAUGCUUAUAUCUCUAACAUUGAGCUGUGAUGGGGAGCGAAGUUUAGUAGCGAAGUUAGUGAUGUCACACUGCCGAGAAAAGCUUCUAGCGUUAAUUAUACUCUACCCGUACCGCAAACCGACACAGGUAGUCGAGGCGAGUAGCUCAGGUGAGCGAGAGAACUCUCGUUAAGGAACUCGGCAAAAUGGCCCCGUAACUUCGGGAGAAGGGGCGCUGACUGAUGGUCAGCCGCAGUGAAUAGGCCCAAGCAACUGUUUAUCAAAAACUACAGCUCUCUGCUAAAUCGUAAGAUGAUGUAUAGGGGGUGACGCCUGCCCGGUGCUGGAAGGUUAAGAGGAGUGCUUAGCGUAAGCGAAGGUAUGAAUUGAAGCCCCAGUAAACGGCGGCCGUAACUAUAACGGUCCUAAGGUAGCGAAAUUCCUUGUCGGGUAAGUUCCGACCCGCACGAAAGGCGUAAUGAUUUGGGCACUGUCUCAACGAGAGACUCGGUGAAAUUUUAGUACCUGUGAAGAUGCAGGUUACCCGCGACAGGACGGAAAGACCCCAUGGAGCUUUACUGCAGUUUGAUAUUGAGUAUCUGUACCACAUGUACAGGAUAGGUAGGAGCCUAUGACCUCGGGACGCCAGUUUCGAGUGAGGCGUUGUUGGGAUACUACCCUUGUGUUAUGGCUACUCUAACCCAGAUAGGUUAUCCCUAUCGGAGACAGUGUCUGACGGGCAGUUUGACUGGGGCGGUCGCCUCCUAAAAGGUAACGGAGGCGCCCAAAGGUUCCCUCAGAAUGGUUGGAAAUCAUUCGCAGAGUGUAAAGGUAUAAGGGAGCUUGACUGCGAGAGCUACAACUCGAGCAGGGACGAAAGUCGGGCUUAGUGAUCCGGUGGUUCCGUAUGGAAGGGCCAUCGCUCAACGGAUAAAAGCUACCCUGGGGAUAACAGGCUUAUCUCCCCCAAGAGUUCACAUCGACGGGGAGGUUUGGCACCUCGAUGUCGGCUCGUCGCAUCCUGGGGCUGUAGUCGGUCCCAAGGGUUGGGCUGUUCGCCCAUUAAAGCGGCACGCGAGCUGGGUUCAGAACGUCGUGAGACAGUUCGGUCCCUAUCCGUCGCGGGCGUAGGAAAUUUGAGAGGAUCUGCUCCUAGUACGAGAGGACCAGAGUGGACUUACCGCUGGUGUACCAGUUGUUCUGCCAAGAGCAUCGCUGGGUAGCUAUGUAGGGAAGGGAUAAACGCUGAAAGCAUCUAAGUGUGAAGCCCACCUCAAGAUGAGAUUUCCCAUGAUUUUAUAUCAGUAAGAGCCCUGAGAGAUGAUCAGGUUGAUAGGUUAGAAGUGGAAGUGUGGUGACACAUGUAGCGGACUAAUACUAAUAGCUCGAGGACUUAUCCAA